ACCAGUGUAGCUGAGUGGUGGAGCACUUGCCUAGCACGCAUGAGGCCCUGGGUUCAAUCCCCAGCACUGCCA
This 72-nucleotide transfer RNA is filed under the name Heterocephalus glaber (naked mole-rat). It matches the Rfam family "tRNA". Rfam says of the family: Transfer RNA (tRNA) molecules are approximately 80 nucleotides in length. Lineage: Eukaryota; Metazoa; Chordata; Mammalia; Rodentia; Bathyergidae. The record is from Rfam by way of RNAcentral.